RNAcentral lists this unclassified non-coding RNA (24 nucleotides) under Mus musculus (house mouse). Its description in RNAcentral is "oocyte_clustered_small_RNA117". Lineage: Eukaryota; Metazoa; Chordata; Mammalia; Rodentia; Muridae. The record is from RNAcentral.
AGCCAAAGUAUUGGGGAUUGCAGU